This 492-nucleotide ribosomal RNA is filed under the name uncultured bacterium. Its description in RNAcentral is "partial 16S ribosomal RNA". It matches the Rfam family "Bacterial small subunit ribosomal RNA", at positions 29 to 507 of the family's 1533-position model. The record is from RNAcentral.
AGUGAACGCUGGCGGUAGGCCUAACACAUGCAAGUCGAACGGCAGCACAGUAAGAGCUUGCUCUUACGGGUGGCGAGUGGCGGACGGGUGAGGAAUACAUCGGAAUCUACUUUUUCGUGGGGGAUAACGUAGGGAAACUUACGCUAAUACCGCAUACGACCUACGGGUGAAAGCAGGGGAUCUUCGGACCUUGCGCGAUUGAAUGAGCCGAUGUCGGAGUAGCUAGUUGGCGGGGUAAGGGCCCACCAAGGCGACGAUCCGUAGCUGGUCUGAGUGGAUGGUCGGCCACACUGGAACUGAGACACGGUCCAGGCUCCUACGGUAGGCAGCAGUGGGGAAUAUUGGACAAAGGGCGCAAGCCUGAUCCAGCCAUACCGCGUGGGUGAAGAAGGCCUUCGGGUUGUAAAGCCCUUUUGUUGGGAAAGAAAAGCAGCAGGUUAAUACCCCGCUGUUCUGACGGUACCCAAAGAAUAAGCACCGGCUAACUUCGUG